Long non-coding RNA from Carassius gibelio (silver crucian carp), 695 nucleotides. RefSeq lists it as uncharacterized. The record is from RefSeq and is a predicted model, not a curated record. Lineage: Eukaryota; Metazoa; Chordata; Actinopteri; Cypriniformes; Cyprinidae. The transcript has 3 exons.
UAUAUGGGAAAGAAUUCUUAGUGUACAAUGUGCACUCACUGCUUCACCUCACUGCUGAUGCCACCACAUAUGGAUCAUUAGACAAAUGCAGUGCCUUUGCGUUUGAGAGCUACAUGCACCAGCUGAAGAAGAUGGUUAGAUCAGGAAACCAUGUUCUAGUCCAAGCAGCAAAACGGCUCCAAGAACAUUCACAGAUUCCUAUACAAACAAGUGAAGAGAAACCAAUACAAUUGAAACAUCCUAAUAAUGUUUACAUUGUUAGCCCAACAUCCUGCUGUGAAGUUCUGGAGAGGACCAACUCCGGAAAGCUCUUAUGUAGAGUCUUCUCGCACUUAACGUCGUACCUUUACGAGCCAUGUGACUCGAUGAUCUAUGGAGCCUAUGUAUGUGGUCCAUCAAAGAUGGAGAUCCUGGACAAGACAAACUUGCAAGGAAGGGCAAUGAUCCUUGAGGACGGGCAUGGCCGCAAAGUUGUCUUUUCUCUCCUUCAUGACCUUGAUUAAUGAAAUAUGGAAAUAUGUUGGAUUUUACAUAGUUAUUUUUGAACAAGAAAAUGCAAUUGCUGUGGCGCCUGCAUUAUGGGUAGAGGAGGUGAAUGGGGUUCUGAUUUGCUACUGGCCCCGUAGAAACGCUGCUGCCAUGGCAAAGGCCUCCCAAAGGCCAGAUAAGGAGCUCUGGAAGCGGCACAAAAUAAG